Molecule: ribosomal RNA, 128 nt
Filed under: uncultured eukaryote
Lineage: Eukaryota
Description: partial 18S ribosomal RNA
Rfam family: Eukaryotic small subunit ribosomal RNA
Source: RNAcentral
UUGAAUUUUGCGUAAAAAGCAUUGUUAUAUAUAUUAUGCUUGGGAUAGACUUUUGUAACUAUUAGUCUUGAACGAGGAAUUCCUUGUAAAUACAAAUCAUUAGUUUGUAUUGAUUGCGUCCCUGCCCU